GUGCUUGCUUCGGCAGCACAUAUACUAAAAUUGGAAUGAUACAGAAAAUAUUAGCACGGCCCCUGUGCAAGGGACACGCAAAUUUGUGAAGUGUUCCAUAUUUUU
Molecule: small nuclear RNA, 105 nt
Filed under: Myotis davidii
Lineage: Eukaryota; Metazoa; Chordata; Mammalia; Chiroptera; Vespertilionidae
Source: RNAcentral